RNAcentral lists this unclassified non-coding RNA (196 nucleotides) under soil metagenome. RNAcentral's name for it is "partial internal transcribed spacer 1". The record is from RNAcentral.
GUAAAUGAGGGAGCGAAAGUUCCUGAACACUGUGUGCACCAUUGUCUGUCUCUGGUGGAACCAGGAGGCUCGAACCGGACUAACCUCCGGUGAGGGUUUCCCUCCACCGAACUUGAAACAACCACUGUCUUUGAAUUUAGUCUGAUCUUGGUUUCCUUUUGCCGUCACCGAAAGGUGGUGGUUGGAAUCUUGAAAA